RNAcentral lists this ribosomal RNA (160 nucleotides) under Nymphoides aquatica x Nymphoides cordata. Its description in RNAcentral is "5.8S ribosomal RNA". It matches the Rfam family "5.8S ribosomal RNA". Rfam says of the family: 5.8S ribosomal RNA (5.8S rRNA) is a component of the large subunit of the eukaryotic ribosome. It is transcribed by RNA polymerase I as part of the 45S precursor that also contains 18S and 28S rRNA. Lineage: Eukaryota; Viridiplantae; Streptophyta; Magnoliopsida; Asterales; Menyanthaceae. The record is from RNAcentral.
AUGACUCUCGGCAACGGAUAUCUCGGCUCUCGCAUCGAUGAAGAACGUAGCGAAAUGCGAUACUUGGUGUGAAUUGCAGAAUCCCGUGAACCAUCGAGUUUUUGAACGCAAGUUGCGCCCGAAGCUGUUAGACUGAGGGCACGUUUGCCUGGGCGUCGUA